AUUGAACGCUGGCGGCAGGCCUAACACAUGCAAGUCGAGCGGAUGAAGGGAGCUUGCUCCUGGAUUCAGCGGCGGACGGGUGAGUAAUGCCUAGGAAUCUGCCUGGUAGUGGGGGAUAACGUCCGGAAACGGGCGCUAAUACCGCAUACGUCCUGAGGGAGAAAGUGGGGGAUCUUCGGACCUCACGCUAUCAGAUGAGCCUAGGUCGGAUUAGCUAGUUGGUGGGGUAAAGGCCUACCAAGGCGACGAUCCGUAACUGGUCUGAGAGGAUGAUCAGUCACACUGGAACUGAGACACGGUCCAGACUCCUACGGGAGGCAGCAGUGGGGAAUAUUGGACAAAGGGCGAAAGCCUGAUCCAGCCAUGCCGCGUGUGUGAAGAAGGUCUUCGGAUGGUAAAGCACUUUAAGUUGGGAGGAAGGGCAGUAAGUUAAUACCUUGCUGUUUUGACGUUACCAACAGAAUAAGCACCGGCUAACUUCGUG
RNAcentral lists this ribosomal RNA (484 nucleotides) under uncultured bacterium. RNAcentral describes it as "partial 16S ribosomal RNA". It matches the Rfam family "Bacterial small subunit ribosomal RNA", at positions 30 to 507 of the family's 1533-position model. The record is from RNAcentral.